AGUGAACGCUGGCGGUAGGCCUAACACAUGCAAGUCGAACGGCAGCACAGUAAGAGCUUGCUCUUACGGGUGGCGAGUGGCGGACGGGUGAGGAAUACAUCGGAAUCUACUUUUUCGUGGGGGAUAACGUAGGGAAACUUACGCUAAUACCGCAUACGACCUACGGGUGAAAGCAGGGGAUCUUCGGACCUUGCGCGAUUGAAUGAGCCGAUGUCGGAUUAGCUAGUUGGCGGGGUAAAGGCCCACCAAGGCGACGAUCCGUAGCUGGUCUGAGAGGAUGAUCAGCCACACUGGAACUGAGACACGGUCCAGACUCCUACGGGAGGCAGCAGUGGGGAAUAUUGGACAAAGGGCGCAAGCCUGAUCCAGCCAUACCGCGUGGGUGAAGAAGGCCUUCGGGUUGUAAAGCCCUUUUGUUGGGAAAGAAAAGCAGCAGGUUAAUACCCCGCUGUUCUGACGGUACCCAAAGAACAAGCACCGGCUAACUUCGUG
RNAcentral lists this ribosomal RNA (492 nucleotides) under uncultured bacterium. RNAcentral's name for it is "partial 16S ribosomal RNA". It matches the Rfam family "Bacterial small subunit ribosomal RNA", at positions 29 to 507 of the family's 1533-position model. The record is from RNAcentral.